Molecule: ribosomal RNA, 424 nt
Filed under: uncultured bacterium
Lineage: Bacteria
Description: partial 16S ribosomal RNA
Rfam family: Bacterial small subunit ribosomal RNA
Source: RNAcentral
AAUAUUGGACAAUGGGCGAAAGCCUGAUCCAGCCAUGCCGCGUGUGCGAAGAAGGUCUUCGGAUUGUAAAGUACUUUAAGUUGGGAGGAAGGGUUGUAGAUUAAUACUCUUCAAUUUUGACGUUAUCGACAGAAUAACCACCGGCUCACUUUGAGCCAGCAGCCGUGGUAAUACGAAGGGUGCAAACGUUAAUCGGAAUUACUGGGCGUAAAGCGCACGUAGGUGGUUCGUUAAGUUGAAUGUGAAAGCCCCGGGCUCAACCUGGGAACUGCAUCCAAAACUGGCGAGCUAGAGUACGGUAGAGGGUGGUGGAAUUUCCUGUGUAGCGGUGAAAUGCGUAGAUAUAGGAAGGAACACCAGUGGCGAAGGCGACCACCUGGACUGAUACUGACACUGAGGUGCGAAAGCGUGGGUAGCAAACAGG